CCCCAAAGCCCUGUCUCCUCAGAACUUCAUAUUCCACCGUUUCCUGUUAAAGCUAAAAUUCCACUGAACCUUCCUGUAUGUGCAUAUGCACAUCUAGCAGAAUCCUGAAACACCAUGGAUUCAGUGGAAAUUUCCCGUCAGUUUAUAAAUGCUGUCAGAGCCAGCUAUAAUAAAGAAACCACAAGUUACUUGCUUUAAUCUUCAACAGAACACCAGGAUUUUGGCAGGAGACACUUUCAUCAGAAAGUUUAUAACUAACAGUUGGGGAUGUUUUCCGCUAACAGGCAUACGUCAAAGUUCUAGGUGCUACCUUUUCCAUGGACUUCAUGGUUCCCCAAAUUUUCAUUUUUUAUUGACAAGCGCAGUGUAAGACUCACACCUACCUUGGAAGGUACUUCUGACCCAGGAAGUACAAAGACAGCAGCUGAGGAGAGGAAAAUACAUAUCAUUGUAAGGUGAUAUUUAAGAGAAGUGAAAGCUGCAGGAUGAGCUCGCCAUUGAAGAAUACAUAGAAUUUCUAAAAAGCUCUAAAAUUGUGAAAAUGCUGUCUGUUUAUGUCCCCUUUAGAGAUUUCUGCAACCUUUUCUCCAGGGCAGGAGUACAACACCUGCAGGAACAGUAGCAGGUAUUUUCUGGGAGGAGGGCCAGGCACAGAGACUUGGAAACAGGCUGAAAAAAGACCAAGCAGGAGGCAGACAAUUCAGUGGAGCAAAGACACUCUCUCACGUUUGUUUUUAUAGGUUCAGGCAUCUAACCUUUUUCAACUGGAUCACAGCUGGCCUCUCUAAAACAACUUUAAAUCAAUGUAUCGGUUAACAGGUUCAAUGUCUUAGGGGGGUAGAAGUGCCUGAAGGUUUGGAAGGCAAGAUCCACACAGCAGUCCCAAAGCAGUGCAAUCAAAAUUCUUGCAGCACCGUACACUCUCACUGUCACAUCUUUCCCCCAAUAACCUCUGCCUUUAAAACAUUUAUCCUUACAUUUUAAAAGUCCAGCUAAGGAUAUUAGCCUCUCAGUAGACUGCCAUUAAAAUGUUGCAUGCCUCUUUGAAAGCUUAAAUGGUGGAGUUUUAGUGUCAAUAACCAAUUUUUAUUUCUGUUAAGAUGUCAUUGCACUAGUUUUUG
RNAcentral lists this long non-coding RNA (1121 nucleotides) under Zonotrichia albicollis (white-throated sparrow). RNAcentral's name for it is "lncRNA (ENSZALG00000008913.1)". The record is from RNAcentral. Lineage: Eukaryota; Metazoa; Chordata; Aves; Passeriformes; Passerellidae.